UACGGAGGGUGCAAACGUUGUUCGGAAUUAUUGGGCGUAAAGCGCGCGUAGGCGGCUUGGUAGGUCGGAUGUGAAACCCCGGGGCUCAACCCCGGGCCUGCGUUCGAAACCGCUGAGCUUGAGUCUGGCAGGGAAAGGUGGAAUUCCUGGUGUAGGGGUGAAAUCCGUAGAGAUCAGGAGGAACACCGGUGGCGAAGGCGACCUUUUGGGCCAAGACUGACGCUGAGGUGCGAAAGCGUGGGGAGCAAACAGG
RNAcentral lists this ribosomal RNA (253 nucleotides) under uncultured bacterium. Its description in RNAcentral is "partial 16S ribosomal RNA". It matches the Rfam family "Bacterial small subunit ribosomal RNA", at positions 524 to 776 of the family's 1533-position model. The record is from RNAcentral.